CUCGUGUCGUGAGAUGUUGGGUUAAGUCCCGCAACGAGCGCAACCCUUGUUCUGUGUUGCCAGCAUGCCCUUCGGGGUGAUGGGGACUCACAGGAGACUGCCGGGGUCAACUCGGAGGAAGGUGGGGACGACGUCAAGUCAUCAUGCCCCUUAUGUCUUGGGCUGCACACGUGCUACAAUGGCAGGUACAAUGAGCUGCGAAGCCGUGAGGCGGAGCGAAUCUCAAAAAGCCUGUCUCAGUUCGGAUUGGGGUCUGCAACUCGACCCCAUGAAGUCGGAGUUGCUAGUAAUCGCAGAUCAGCAUUGCUGCGGUGAAUACGUUCCCGGGCCUUGUACACACCGCCCGUCACGUCACGAAAGUCGGUAACACCCGAAGCCGGUGGCCCAACCCCUUGUGGGAGGGAGCUGUCGAAGGUGGGACUGGCGAUUGGGACGAAGUCGUAACAAGGUAGCCGUACCGGAAGGUGCGGCUGGAUCACCUCCUUUCUAA
This 490-nucleotide ribosomal RNA is filed under the name Streptomyces sp. WAC00263. RNAcentral describes it as "bacterial SSU rRNA". It matches the Rfam family "Bacterial small subunit ribosomal RNA", at positions 1059 to 1533 of the family's 1533-position model. Lineage: Bacteria; Bacillati; Actinomycetota; Actinomycetes; Kitasatosporales; Streptomycetaceae. The record is from RNAcentral.